This 174-nucleotide ribosomal RNA is filed under the name Triticum aestivum (bread wheat). RNAcentral's name for it is "partial small subunit ribosomal RNA". Lineage: Eukaryota; Viridiplantae; Streptophyta; Magnoliopsida; Poales; Poaceae. The record is from RNAcentral.
AUGGAGGCAAGGGAGGACUGGAAGAUUGCAUGGGUAAGGAGAGAUGCAAAUCGGGCUGCUCAUGUUUUAGCUAGGGAAUCUGUUUCUAAUAAUCUCUGUAUGGAGUGGCCGAAUAUUCCCUCAGACAUUAUUUUGCAUGUAAUUUCGGAUGAGAUCCCCAGUGGGGACAGUUGA